UCCUGGCUCAGGAUGAACGCUGGCGGCGUGCUUAACACAUGCAAGUCGAACGGAGCACCCCUGAUCGAGUUUUCGGACAAGUGAAGGGAAUGCUUAGUGGCGGACGGGUGAGUAACGCGUGAGGAACCUGCCUUGGAGAGGGGAAUAACACAGUGAAAAUUGUGCUAAUACCGCAUGAAGCAGUUGAGUCGCAUGGCUCUGACUGCCAAAGAUUUAUCGCUCUGAGAUGGCCUCGCGUCUGAUUAGCUAGUUGGUGGGGCAACGGCCCACCAAGGCGACGAUCAGUAGCCGGACUGAGAGGUUGACCGGCCACAUUGGGACUGAGACACGGCCCAGACUCCUACGGGAGGCAGCAGUGGGGAAUAUUGGGCAAUGGGCGCAAGCCUGACCCAGCAACGCCGCGUGAAGGAAGAAGGCUUUCGGGUUGUAAACUUCUUUUAUUGAGGACGAAACAAAUGACGGUACUCAAUGAAUAAGCCACGGCUAACUACGUG
RNAcentral lists this ribosomal RNA (494 nucleotides) under uncultured Oscillospiraceae bacterium. RNAcentral's name for it is "bacterial SSU rRNA". It matches the Rfam family "Bacterial small subunit ribosomal RNA", at positions 17 to 507 of the family's 1533-position model. Lineage: Bacteria; Bacillati; Bacillota; Clostridia; Eubacteriales; Oscillospiraceae. The record is from RNAcentral.